This 461-nucleotide ribosomal RNA is filed under the name uncultured bacterium. Its description in RNAcentral is "bacterial SSU rRNA". It matches the Rfam family "Bacterial small subunit ribosomal RNA", at positions 339 to 797 of the family's 1533-position model. The record is from RNAcentral.
GUACGGGAGGCAGCAGUGAGGAAUAUUGGUCAAUGGGGGCAACCCUGAACCAGCCAUGCCGCGUGAAGGAAGACGGCCCUAAGGGUUGUAAACUUCUUUUGUACUGGGGUAAAAGUAGGUUUGCGAACUUACGUGAAAGUACGGUACGAAUAAGCAUCGGCUAACUCCGUGCCAGCAGCCGCGGUAAUACGGAGGAUGCAAGCGUUAUCCGGAUUUAUUGGGUUUAAAGGGUGCGUAGGCGGGUAUUUAAGUCAGUGGUGAAAGACUGUUGCUUAACGAUAGCAUUGCCAUUGAUACUGAAUAUCUUGAGUAUAAUUGAGGUAGGCGGAAUGUGUAGUGUAGCGGUGAAAUGCUUAGAUAUUACACAGAACACCGAUUGCGAAGGCAGCUUACUAAAUUAGAACUGACGCUGAGGCACGAAAGCGUGGGGAUCAAACAGGAUUAGAAACCCUAGUAGUCCG